AAGCUUGACUAAAGAAAACUUCUUCAGCCAAGUACAAUGACACAUGCCUGUAAUCCUAGCUACUUUGAAGGUUGAAGCAAGAGGAUCUCAAGCUCAAAGCCAGGCUAGGCAAUUUACUGAGAACCUGUCUCAGAAUAAAAAGAGCUGGGAUUGCAGUUCAGUGACAGAGUCUCCCUGAUGCUCCGCAGCCACUUCCAGAGUGCCAGGACUACGGGCAUAUACGACAAAUCCAGCUAAGAACAACUGUUUGAGCUAAGUACAAUAUAAUGGAUAUAAAAACUGAUUUUGGAGGGUGAGAAAGAAGCAACAGAGGGACAAAAUGACCUUAUCAAGUCAUUCUCCCAGGGAACCUACAGGUGUUUGUGCUGAUCAUGGUAGAAAGGAGCUCUGCGAAUCUUGAGAUUAUUUCAUUGAAACCUAAGAGAUAUAGAUCCAAAAAAUGAGAGAAGUGGCCCAGAUGGAUGUCCUAUUUUUAAUGUUUUGAGGAUCUUCCCUAUUCUUUAUCAUACCAACUGCAUCGUUAUAUAUUCCCACCAACAAUGAAGAAGGGCUCCACAAGUUAAGUUGUUUCUUAAGAUCUGUGACUUGUGCCUUGUAACUAGGAUCACAUUUGACCACUUUUAGGAUGAACUUUGAGCUUGGUUUUGUUUCCUCCUCCACGUGGGAGUAGACCCUGCUGUCCCACCAGGGCAGAUGUGGCAGAAUGCCCUGGGAGGAUCAGAGACAUGGGAUCUUGUGCUAGCAGCUGGUAGGCCCCCUGGAGCUGAGUUGUGCUUUAACUUACCUAGAAAUAGCCCCAUGCCAUCUGGGGGCCCAAGCAGUUACAUCAAUGUUAUUCUGCCAAACAGGGAUGGGAUCUCUUCUGUGUACUCUGCCCAAAGAAGCAGAUACAAGAGUCACAUUCUUUCCCACAUGUUAUUAUCAAUAAUGUUAUCAGCUGCACCCAGAUUUGCCCAGCUGGGUCAUCUUCCAUUCUCUUGUAAUCUUACAAACAUAUUAACAAACUGAAAUAAGGCCUGACAUUGCAAUAAGGCUAUUUACAUCUUGGUCCAUGAGAUUUUACUAAUAUUAUCUAACUAGAGUUUCUUUACAUGCUUUAUUAAUCUAUGGAAAUCUAUGUCCAAGAAAGAUAUUCUUAAAAUCUCCCCUAUCCAUUUCCAGGAAGCAAACUGACUACCUGACUUAUGCAGAAUUUUGGCCCCUAUGAUGAAACCUUCCUAUCCCCUUGGGGUUUUGUUUAUACCUAUGUCACAUGACGUGGCAAAAGUAAAUGAAGAAUGAAGAUAGAAACAUAAUUUCUAGUAAACUAACCUUAAAAUUGGAAUCUUGUCCUGAAUUAUCUGUGUGGUCCUGAUAUAAUCCCAUGGCCCUUUGGAAGAGGAAGACAGAAGAGUCAGUCAUAGAGAUGCAAGAAUGAAAGAACAGGAAGAGAAAUUGGAGAUGAGAAAGAAGCUUGAGCACUGUUGCUGCCUUUGAAAAUGGGGGAAAGGGUCCAUAAGUCAUCGACUGUAGCUGCCUAUAGUCCUGGGAAUGGGCUUCAGCAGACAGCCAGAAUGGAUGUGAGACCUUGAUCCUAUAACAGAACAGGACUGAAUCUCAACAACAAUUUAAGUGAGCAAAGAAACACAUUGCUUGUCCUAGAUCCUUGAAAUCUAGGAUUCCCUUUCAAUUCCUUGAUUUUGCCAUAG
Long non-coding RNA from Fukomys damarensis (Damara mole-rat), 1688 nucleotides. RefSeq lists it as uncharacterized. The record is from RefSeq and is a predicted model, not a curated record. The transcript has 6 exons. NCBI's taxonomy places the organism in Eukaryota, Metazoa, Chordata, Mammalia, Rodentia, Bathyergidae.